RNAcentral lists this small RNA (327 nucleotides) under Vigna angularis var. angularis. RNAcentral's name for it is "Non-protein coding transcript". Lineage: Eukaryota; Viridiplantae; Streptophyta; Magnoliopsida; Fabales; Fabaceae. The record is from RNAcentral.
CCUAUGACGAGUACUAGAAAACAUCUAGAACGGCCGUUCACUAUGGACACGAAAAAACGUAACAAGACCGAACGUUCAAUGGAGAAUAAACCCAUCAAGACCGAACGUUCAACUAACAUAAGAAAAUGACCGAACGCUAUUUGCUGAACACCACAAUAGGACGAGCGGAACGAUCGUAAUCAAAACUUACUGUUUGGCCGAUCGUUCAAAACCGAACGCCGGACGAGCGGUAGAUGAGGAGGAGCGUCCUCAGACCAUUUUAAAACACAGCACCGCCUAUGUCGAACGGUAACACUAUGAGACCAAACGUUCAGUUUGAGAAUAAAC